GCCAGGCACAGUGGCUUGCCUGUAUUCCCACUACUUGGGAGGCUGAGGUGGGAGGAUUGAUUGAGCCCAGGAGUUCUGGGUUGUAGUGUGCUAUGCCAGCCGGGUGUCUGCACUGAGUUCAACAUCAAUAUGGUGACCUCCCAGGAGUGGGAGACCACCAGGUUGCCUAAGGAGGGGUGAACCAGUCCAGGUCAGAAGCGGAGCAUGUCAAAACUCCUGUGCUGAUUAGUAGUGGGAUCACAGCUGUGAUAGCCACUGCACUCCAGCCUGGGCAACAUAGCGAGACCCCAUCUCUC
This is an unclassified non-coding RNA of Callithrix jacchus (white-tufted-ear marmoset), 296 nucleotides long. It matches the Rfam family "Metazoan signal recognition particle RNA". Rfam says of the family: The signal recognition particle (SRP) is a universally conserved ribonucleoprotein. It is involved in the co-translational targeting of proteins to membranes. The eukaryotic SRP consists of a 300-nucleotide 7S RNA and six proteins: SRPs 72, 68, 54, 19, 14, and 9. The record is from Ensembl. Lineage: Eukaryota; Metazoa; Chordata; Mammalia; Primates; Cebidae.